UGAAGAGAGUCCUAAACUGGAGUAAAGA
RNAcentral lists this non-coding RNA (28 nucleotides) under Homo sapiens (human). The record is from RNAcentral. Lineage: Eukaryota; Metazoa; Chordata; Mammalia; Primates; Hominidae.